This 568-nucleotide ribosomal RNA is filed under the name Desulfovibrio sp. STL12. RNAcentral describes it as "bacterial SSU rRNA". It matches the Rfam family "Bacterial small subunit ribosomal RNA", at positions 352 to 915 of the family's 1533-position model. Lineage: Bacteria; Pseudomonadati; Thermodesulfobacteriota; Desulfovibrionia; Desulfovibrionales; Desulfovibrionaceae. The record is from RNAcentral.
CAGUGGGGAAUAUUGCGCAAUGGCGAAAGCCUGACGCAGCGACGCCGCGUGAGGGAUGAAGGUUCUCGGAUCGUAAACCUCUGUCAGAAGGGAAGAAAAAUCAGGGGAGUAACUGCCCUUGACCUGACGGUACCUUCAAAGGAAGCACCGGCUAACUCCGUGCCAGCAGCCGCGGUAAUACGGAGGGUGCAAGCGUUAAUCGGAAUCACUGGGCGUAAAGCGCACGUAGGCGGCUUUGUAAGUCAGCGGUGCAAGCCCUUCGCUCAACGAAGGAAUUGCCGUUGAUACUGCUUAGCUUGAGUUUGUGAGAGGAUAGUGGAAUUCCAGGUGUAGGAGUGAAAUCCGUAGAGAUCUGGAGGAACAUCAGUGGCGAAGGCGACUAUCUGGCACAAUACUGACGCUGAGGUGCGAAAGCGUGGGGAUCAAACAGGAUUAGAUACCCUGGUAGUCCACGCUGUAAACGAUGGAUACUAGGUGCUGGAGGCUUGACUUUCAGUGCCGUAGCUAACGCGUUAAGUAUCCCGCCUGGGGAGUACGGUCGCAAGGCUGAAACUCAAAGAAAUUGACG